UGUGAUUUGGGAUAAUUAUAAAAAUAGUUUCUUAGUGUAUUUUUGUUUUGGUCACUUAGAUUUAAUAUGGGUAAAAUUCGAUUUGACUCAAAAAAUCGAAAAAUAUUUUGAAUUAUGAGUUAAACGAAUCGAGUUAUUUUAGUCAACUCAAUUUUUUUUUUUUUAAAUUUCAAAUUUGAAUCAAGUUUAAUUUUUGAAUUGGAAAAACUCAAAUAACUUGAAUAACCUAAAUACCAAAUUAUAAUAUUUUACAUUUUUACCCCAAACCCCCAAAUCUUUUUACUUUCGCCCCAAUACUUUUACUCCAUCCCACUUUCCCUCCAAAACAUUUACUCCCCUCCCAUCCCACCCCUAUCUAUCCCAAACCCAUUUUUCCCCCAAUUAUUUUUUGAAUAUUUUCUCCCCAUUUACUCCCCCCCAAAUUUUACUCCCCUAACCCUCAAAACUUUUUAUAUCCCCCCUAAAUUUUUUACUUUUCACCCUUUACCCA
RNAcentral lists this long non-coding RNA (490 nucleotides) under Gossypium raimondii (Peruvian cotton). RNAcentral's name for it is "long non-coding RNA (GRAI_LNC009833)". The record is from RNAcentral. Lineage: Eukaryota; Viridiplantae; Streptophyta; Magnoliopsida; Malvales; Malvaceae.